AACGAACGCUGGCGGCAUGCCUAACACAUGCAAGUCGAACGAGACCUUCGGGUCUAGUGGCGCACGGGUGCGUAACGCGUGGGAACCUGCCCUUAGGUUCGGAAUAACUCCCCGAAAGGGGUGCUAAUACCGGAUAAUGUCUUCGGACCAAAGAUUUAUCGCCUUUGGAUGGGCCCGCGUUGGAUUAGCUAGUUGGUAGGGUAAAAGCCUACCAAGGCGACGAUCCAUAGCUGGUCUGAGAGGAUGAUCAGCCACACUGGGACUGAGACACGGCCCAGACUCCUACGGGAGGAAGCAGUGGGGAAUAGUGGACAAGGGGCGAAAGCCUGAACCAGCAAUGCCGCGUGAGUGAUGAAGGACUUAGGGUUGUAAAGCUCUUUUACCAGGGAUGAUAAUGACAGUACCGGGAGAAUAAGCUCCGGCUAACUCAGUG
This 433-nucleotide ribosomal RNA is filed under the name uncultured bacterium. RNAcentral's name for it is "partial 16S ribosomal RNA". It matches the Rfam family "Bacterial small subunit ribosomal RNA", at positions 29 to 507 of the family's 1533-position model. The record is from RNAcentral.